CAAAUAAAGAUACCAGGACAACAAAGAAAAAAUUAUAAUAUGAGUAAAUUAGAAAGUUGCUUACAAUUGCAUGCUUUAUCUGAAUCAUGAAAAAAAUUUGGGUUCAGUAUCCCUUUAAUAUACUGAAGGGCAAGUUCAGUAAUAUACUGAAUAACAAUACAUUAUCAUACAGUGAGCAAAUUAUAGUAAUAUAUACUCAAAAUCAGAGUGAAAUACUAUUAUAGAAAUAAGGGGAAAUAAUAAACAUAUAUACAGGAAUAAUAUACAUACAUACAGGAGAAUUGUAAGCAAUUAUUUAUUGUAGGUCAAACAGCAUAAAUAAAUUCACAUUUAUUGGUGGUAUAUUAUAUACCACCAAUAUAUUCCAAUUUAUUUAUGCCCUGUGACCUUCACUAAAUAAUUGCUUACAUUUCUCCUGUAUGUAUGUAUAUUAUAUGUGCCAGAAUAGUAAUAUAUAUAAACUCAAAGAGAAUGCCUCUUGGUGUGAUGGGCUAUACUAUUAUAUAAAUGAUAUUGGGACAUUAGUUCCAGGGCUAUAAUGUGCUGGGGAUAAGGGGGCUACACAUAUUUUAUUUGGCUAUGUUAAUAAUAUACUGUGAAUUAAAAGGUAAAAAUAUUCAGGUAUACCAAAAAAUAAUUUACCGAAAAUGAAGGUACAGUAAAUAUUCUAGUGUGCCAGCGAAAUAAUAUUCUGAGUUUAGAGGACAACGCAAAUAAAUGUUUGUUUGCCCUGGAAUCAUGGGGUUGUAAAUAUUCAUCUAUUGGCAUUGUUUUUUUGGGUAGGGACAAUAAUGUACUGCAAAGGAGGGUAUAAUAAUAAACUUGUGAAAAGAGCAAAAAUAUUUUGCUUAAAAGGAUAGAAAAGUCAAAAAUAAAACUUGCAUGGGAGCAUUUCUUUGUGAAAUAUACGCAUUUUUGUAAUAUACUUAUUAGCAAAAAUGCUUCUAGUAAAGUUAUUACUGUCUUCCAGCAGCAUACGCACAUAUUCUGGGAGUGCCCAUGUACCAGUAUUCAUACACCACCCCUACAAGCAGUAGCUUGUAUAACACAAAUUAUGUCUUCAGCAGCAAUACACACAACAGCCAGCUCUGUGAGCAAGCAUGGUGUUUAAAUACAGGUAGACCUCAUUUUACAGCGCUUCGCUAAUACAGCGCUUUGUGGAGCUGAAGUUCAACCUCCAAGGAUUUUGAAACAGUGCUGUAAUCUUCUUGAGAUUGCGAGAAAAGUGACUGGCACUAUUUUGUUAUGUGCAGUUCACUCUGUUUACAGCAUUAGAGUGCUUUCUGUGUCUCAGUGUUAUAGUCUGGCAAAUUUUACUAUAGUAAUUGUCACUAUUUUACAGGUAUAGUAUUUAUUGAAUACUAAAUAAAUACUGUGCUGUGCCAGUGUUAAACUAAACGUAGCAUUAUUGCACCCCUAAUAUAUGUUAAUUCAAACAUGUUUUCAAGUUUUUAAACAGAUUGGCAAGUGAAAAGAAAGCUAGAACCGCCUUGUUUCGAUUUAAUGCGGUUUUCACUUCACAGCGGGGCUCCGGUCCCUAACCCGCAGUAUGAGCGCGGUAUACCUAUACUGGUUCACGGCCCUCACAGGAUAUACAAAGUAUCUCCAGGGGUCAAGUCGAGCAGGAACGCAUCGGAAUGGAGUUCCUGCACUAUUUUUGCAGGUGGAACUAAGUUCCCUCUGGACAAAGAACAAAAACACUGCUGGUGGGAGGAGCUGGAGCACAGUCUGGUUAGAGGGAUAGUGAGAUUCUCUAGUAAUGGGCAGUAACAUUUCUUACAAUACACUAAAUGCAAACCCGUCAGCGGUCCUGCUAUGUGAUCAGCCCACAAUGUGUGUAACACAUGGUGCUGUGUGGCUUGCUCUGGGGUUAUUUAGCUCCCCUUAGCAGAAAUAGGACUAUUGCACCGUAAGUGGGUGAGACUCUAUUACAGAGGAGGAUUCUCUGGCCCAAAGGCAACCAUUCAACCGUUCAUAUAUAAAACAAUAUUAAUUGUGAGGGUGGUGGAAGUCUUGGUGAGUUCCCACACAUUUUUGUAGCACUUGACCCCUGAGUAUCUCCCAGAAAUAGUGUAGGAGACGUGCCAAUGAAGAUUGUGGUUUUCUGCAAGAAACUACACUGAUAAGAUCAUAUACAGAGUGUCCACAGCACCUUUUCUUUAAAUAACUCCUUUAUCGGAACAGAUUAAAGUACAUGCAACAUUUCGAGUCCGAAACAUUGUAUGUAUAUUAAUCUGUUCCAAUAAAGGAUUUAUUUAACAAAAUGUGCGGCAGACACUCUGUAUAUGGCCUCACAGGAUAUGUGCAUAUGCUGCUCGAAACUUGUAAUAACCUUUACUUAAAGCAUUUUUGCUAAUGGAAGUAUAUUGCAAAAAUGUUUGUAUUUCAAAUAGAAAUGCACCCAUGUACAAUUCAUAAAAACUUCCUAUCCAUUUAAAUGGUUAUUAAAGGGCAGUAUUAAAGGGCAGUAAUAUGUGGAUGGAGCAAAAUAGAUUUAACAAAAUGACAAUUAUAUACUGGGGGGGGGGGGGAUAUAUACUGGUAAAUGAAGGGCAAUUAUAUGAACUUCAAAAUAAUAUACCUGUUAAUAUAUAGAUUAACAAUUUAUGCAAAUAAUCAUGUGAUAAUAGAAUAACAUAGAUGAAACAUAAGUGUUAUAGUAUACUGGAAAAAAGCUUCCCAAAUGUAUAUGUUAGAAGAGAGCUAUUGUACCCUGGAUAUCAAAAACAAUAACAUGCUGGACCCAUACUAUACUAGUAAUGAGACCAAAAUAUACUUGUGACAAUGGACUUUAAGGGAUACUAAACCCACAUUUUUUCUUUCAUGAUUCAGAUAGAGCAUGUAAUUUUAAGCAACUUUCAAAUUCACUCCGAUUAUCAAUUUUUCUUCGCUCUCUUUGUAUCUUCAUUUGAAAAUCAGGAAUCUAAGCUUAGGAGCCGGCCCAUAUUUGGUUCAGCACCUGGGUAGUGCUUGCUGAUUUGAGUGCUCCCCAGGGUAAUACAGUAAUUUACACUGUGUAGGGGGCAAUGGAUAUAUUAAGUUACAAGAGGAUAUAUCAACAUUGCACUCUGCAGAAUGGUUGGCAGUUAUGACAAUGUGAGCCAGUUUUCUUUAAAAUGGACCAGAAGUUUAACUGAGAUUAAGGGGAAGGGAUAUAAUGAAAAAGGCAUUAACAUAAAAUAAAAUGCUGAAGACCAAAGAUGGUGAACAGAUAUUACCAGUAUUGCACUGAUGGUCUGUGAUAUGUUGAGUGUAUCUAGUCUGUGGAGAGUAGAUAGUGAACAUAAAGAGAAGAAAGAAGGGAUAUCUCUGUUAUGACUGGGGAACGGAGGGGGGGGGGGUCAGUUUGAAUUAAUAGGAAGUCAGGCUAUUAGCUGUGCUGUUACAAAAUUUGAGGUAAUAGCUGUGUCACAACUGGACAGCAGGGGGCAAUAGCUAUACUGUGAUUUAUAUGCAGGAUACAUAUAUUAUUGUUAUGCACUGUUACACACUGAUUGGGAACUAUGAGCAACAUCUGCAUUGACACUACAGAGCAGGAGUAAUUAGUGCUCAUAUCAGUGAAAAGCAGGAGCAAUAUCUCUCAUAAGCAGCCAUGAAACAGGGUGCAGAACAUAUACUAUUACUGACAAUUGUUGCACUGCUGGUGGGAUGUGUGUGUGUUUGUACAGUAGCUACACUGCAUCUGUAAUAUAGAGUGACUGCCACUGUAAUGUAGGGAAGGGUUUUUAUGUAGGGAAUGGUUAGUUUUACUGGCAUAGAGCAACUCUUGUCCAGCUGCUGGCAGUGGUGGUUCUUGAACUUAAUAUUUGGGAGAGAACUAAUUGGGGACUAACAAAGGUGGUAAAAAAGUUGAAGUAAACAGGACACAUAAUAUAUGGAGCACUUCACAGCUUCACCCCCAUAGAACUGCUGGGAUGUUGAGGAUGUGUGGGGCAGUAGUUGCACUGGUGCUGUUAUGUUAGAGGUGUAACUGUACUUCAUCUGGGAGAUAGGGGGCAGUAGUUGUACUGGUGCUGGGAUGUAAGAGGUGUAGCUGUACUUCAUCUGGGAGAUAGGGGACAGUAGUUAUACUGGUGCUGGGAUGUAAGAGUUGUAACUGUACUUCAUCUGGGAGAUAGGGGGCAGUAGUUAUACUGGUGCUGGGAUGUAAGAGUUGUAACUGUACUUCAUCUGGGAGAUAGGGGGCAGUAGUUGUACUGGUGCUGGGAUGUAAGAGGUGUAGCUGUACUUCAUCUUGGAGAUAGGGGACAGUAGUGGCACUGGUGCUGGGAUGUAAGAGGUGUAGCUGUACUUCAUCUGGGAGAUAGAGGGCAGUAGUUGUACGGAUGCUGGGAUGUAAGAGGUGUAGUUGUACUUCAUCUGGGAGAUAGGGGGCAGUAGUUAUACUGGUGCUGUUAUGUAAGAGGUGUAGCUGUACUUCAUCUGGGAGAUAGGGGGCAAUAGUUGUACUGGUGCUGGGAUGUAACAGGUGUAGCUGUACUUCAUCUGGGAGAUAGGGGGCAGUAGUUGUACUGAUGCUGGGAUGUAAGAGGUGUAGUUGUACUUCAUCUGGGAGAUAGGGGCAGUAGUUAUACUGGUGCUGUUAUGUAAGAGGUGUAGCUGUAUUUCAUCUGGGAGAUAGGGGGCAAUAGUUGUACUGGUGCUGGGAUGUAAGAGGUGUAGCUGUACUUCAUCUGGGAGAUAGGGGGCAGUAGUUGUACUGAUGCUGGGAUGUAAGAGGUGUAACUGUACUUCAUCUGGGAGAUAGGGGGCAGUAGUUGUACUGGUGCUGGGAUGUAAGAGGUGUAGCUGUACUUCAUCUGGGAGAUAGGGGGCAGUAGUUAUACUGGUGCUGGGAUGUAAGAGGUGUAGCUGUACUUCAUCUGGGAGAUAGGGGGCAGUAGUGGCACUGGUGCUGGGAUGUAAGAGGUGUAGUUGUACUUCAUCUGGGAGAUAGGGGGCAGUAGUGGCACUGGUGCUGGGAUGUAAGAGGUGUAGCUGUACUUCAUCUGGGAGAUAGGGGGCAGUAGUUGUACUGGUGCUGGGAUGUAAGAGGUGUAGCUGUACUUCAUCUGGGAGAUAGGGGGCAGUAGUUAUACUGGUGCUGGGAUGUAAGAGGUGUAGCUGUACUUCAUCUGGGAGAUAGGGGGCAGUAGUGGCACUGGUGCUGGGAUGUAAGAGGUGUAGUUGUACUUCAUCUGGAAGAUAGGGGGCAGUAGUGGCACUAGUGCUGGGAUGUAAGAGGUGUAGCUGUACUUCAUCUGGGAGAUAGGGGGCAGUAGUGGCACUGAUGCUGGGGUGUAAGAGGUGUAGCUGUACUUCAUAUUGGAGAUAGGGGACAGUAGUGGCACUGGUGCUGGGAUGUAAGAGGUGUAGCUGUACUUCAUCUGGGAGAUAGGGGGCAGUAGUGGCACUGAUGCUGGGAUGUAAGAGGUGUAACUGUACUUCAUCUGGGAGAUAGGGGGCAGUAGUUGUACUGGUGCUGGGAUGUAAGAGGUGUAGCUGUACUUCAUCUGGGAGAUGGGGGCAGUAGUUAUACUGGUGUUGGGAUGUAAGAGGUGUAACUGUACUUCAUCUGGGAGAUAGGGGGCAGUAGUUGUACUGGUGCUGGGAUGUAAGAGGUGUAGCUGUACUUCAUCUUGGAGAUAGGGGACAAUAGUGGCACUGGUGCUGGGAUGUAAGAGGUGUAGCUGUACUUCAUCUGGGAGAUAGGGGGCAGUAGUUAUACUGGUGCUGGGAUGUAAGCGAUGUAGCUGUACUUCAUUUGGGAGAUAGGGGGCAGUAGUUGUACUGGUGCUGGGACGUAAGAGGUGUAGCCUUACUUCAUCUGGGAGAUAGGGGGCAGUAGUUGUAAUGGUGCUGGGAUGUAAGAGGUGUAGCUGUACUUCAUCUGGGAGAUAGGGGGCAGUAGUUGUAAUGGUGCUGGGAUGUAAGAGGUGUAGCUGUACUUCAUCUGGGAGAUAGGGGCAGUAGUUAUACUGGUGCUGUUAUGUAAGAGGUGUAGCUGUACUUCAUCUAGAAGAUAGGGGGCAGUAGUUGUACUGAUGCUGGGAUGUAAGAGGUGUAGCUGUACUUCAUCUGGGAGAUAGGGGGCAGUAGUUGUACUGGUGCUGGGAUGUAAGAGGUGUAGCUGUACUUCAUCUGGGAGAUAGGGGGCAGUAGUUGUACUGAUGCUGGGAUGUAAGCGGUGUAACUACUUCAUCUGGGAGAUAAGGGGCAGUAGUUGUACUGGUGCUGGGAUGUGAGCGGUGUAGCUGUACUUCAUCUGGGAGAUAGGGGGCAGUAGUUGUACUGGUGCUGGGAUGUAAGAGGUGUAGCUGUACUUCAUCUGGGAGAUAGGGGGCAGUAGUUAUACUGGUGCUGGGAUGUAAGAGGUGUAGCUGUACUUCAUCUGGGAGAUAGGGGGCAGUAGUUAUACUGGUGCUGGGAUGUAAGAGGUGUAACUGUACUUCAUCUGGGAGAUAGGGGGCAGUAGUUGUACUGGUGCUGGGAUGUAAGAGGUGUAGCUGUACUUCAUCUGGGAGAUAGGGGGCAGUAGUUGUACUGGUACUGGGGUGUAAGAGAUGUAGCUGUACUUCAUCUGGGAGAUAGGGGGCAGUAGUUGUACUGGUGCUGGGAUGUAAGAGGUGUAGCUGUAUUUUAUUUGGGAGAUAGGUGGCAGUAGUUGUACUGGUGCUGGGAUGUAAGAAGUGUAGCUGUACUUCAUCUGGGAGAUAGGGGCAGUAGUUAUACUGGUGCUGGGAUGUAAGAGGUGUAGCUGUACUUCAUCUAGAAGAUAGGGGGCAGUAGUUGUACUGAUGCUGGGAUGUAAGAGGUGUAUCUGUACUUCAUCUGGGAGAUAGGGGGCAGUAGUUGUACUGGUGCUGGGAUGUAAGAGGUGUAGCUGUACUUCAUCUGGGAGAUAGGGGGCAGUAGUUGUACUGAUGCUGGGAUGUAAGCGGUGUAACUACUUCAUCUGGGAGAUAGGGGGCAGUAGUUAUACUGGUGCUGGGAUGUGAGCGGUGUAGCUGUACUUCAUCUGGGAGAUAGGGGGCAGUAGUUGUACUGGUGCUGGGAUGUAAGAGGUGUAGCUGUACUUCAUCUGGGAGAUAGGGGACAGUAGUUAUACUGGUGCUGGGAUGUAAGAGGUGUAGCUGUACUUCAUCUGGGAGAUAGGGGGCAGUAGUUAUACUGGUGCUGGGAUGUAAGAGGUGUAGCUGUACUUCAUCUUGGAGAUAGGGGGCAGUAGUUGUACUGGUGCUGGGAUGUAAGAGGUGUAGCUGUACUUCAUCUGGGAGAUAGGGGGCAGUAGUUGUACUGGUACUGGGGUGUAAGAGAUGUAGCUGUACUUCAUCUGGGAGAUAGGGGGCAGUAGUUGUACUGGUGCUGGGAUGUAAGAGGUGUAGUUGUACUUCCUUCAUCUGGAGAUUGGGGGCAGUAGUGGCACUGGUGCUGGGAUGUAAGAGGUGUAGCUGUACUUCAUCUGGAGAUAGGGGGCAGUAGUUGUAAUGGUGCUGGGAUGUAAGAGGUGUAGCUGUACUUCAUCUGGGAGAUAGGAGCAGUAGUUAUACUGGUGCUGUUAUGUAAGAGGUGUAGCUGUACUUCAUCUAGAAGAUAGGGGGCAGUAGUUGUACUGAUGCUGGGAUGUAAGAGGUGUAGCUGUACUUCAUCUGGGAGAUAGGGGGCAGUAGUUGUACUGGUGCUGGGAUAUAAGAGGUGUAGCUGUACUUCAUCUGGGAGAUAGGGGGCAGUAGUUGUACUGAUGCUGGGAUGUAAGUGGUGUAACUACUUCAUCUGGGAGAUAGGGGGCAGUAGUUGUACUGGUGCUGGGAUGUGAGCGGUAUAGCUGUACUUCAUCUGGGAGAUAGGGGGCAGUAUUUGUACUGGUGCUGGGAUGUAAGAGGUGUAGCUGUACUUCAUCUGGGAGAUAGGGGCAGUAGUUAUACUGGUGCUGUUAUGUAAGAGGUGUAGCUGUACUUCAUCUAGAAGAUAGGGGGCAGUAGUUGUACUGAUGCUGGGAUGUAAGAGGUGUAGCUGUACUUCAUCUGGGAGAUAGGGGGCAGUAGUUGUACUGGUGCUGGGAUGUAAGAGGUGUAGCUGUACUUCAUCUGGAAGAUAGGGGGCAGUAGUUGUACUGAUGCUGGGAUGUAAGCGGUGUAACUACUUCAUCUGGGAGAUAAGGGGCAGUAGUUGUACUGGUGCUGGGAUGUGAGCGGUGUAGCUGUACUUCAUCUGGGAGAUAGGGGGCAGUAGUUGUACUGGUGCUGGGAUGUAAGAGGUGUAGCUGUACUUCAUCUGGGAGAUAGGGGACAGUAGUUAUACUGGUGCUGGGAUGUAAGAGGUGUAGCUGUACUUCAUCUGGGAGAUAGGGGGCAGUAGUUAUACUGGUGCUGGGAUGUAAGAGGUGUAACUGUACUUCAUCUGGGAGAUAGGGGGCAGUAGUGGUACUGGUGCUGGGAUGUAAGAGGUGUAGUUGUACUUCAUCUGGGAGAUAGGGGGCAGUAGUUGUACUGGUACUGGGGUGUAAGAGAUGUAGCUGUACUUCAUCUGGGAGAUAGGGGGCAGUAGUUGUACUGGUGCUGGGAUGUAAGAGGUGUAGCUGUAUUUUAUUUGGGAGAUAGGUGGCAGUAGUUGUACUGGUGCUGGGAUGUAAGAAGUGUAGCUGUACUUCAUCUGGGAGAUAGGGGCAGUAGUUAUACUGGUGCUGGGAUGUAAGAGGUGUAGCUGUACUUCAUCUAGAAGAUAGGGGGCAGUAGUUGUACUGAUGCUGGGAUGUAAGAGGUGUAUCUGUACUUCAUCUGGGAGAUAGGGGGCAGUAGUUGUACUGGUGCUGGGAUGUAAGAGGUGUAGCUGUACUUCAUCUGGGAGAUAGGGGGCAGUAGUUGUACUGAUGCUGGGAUGUAAGCGGUGUAACUACUUCAUCUGGGAGAUAGGGGGCAGUAGUUAUACUGGUGCUGGGAUGUGAGCGGUGUAGCUGUACUUCAUCUGGGAGAUAGGGGGCAGUAGUUGUACUGGUGCUGGGAUGUAAGAGGUGUAGCUGUACUUCAUCUGGGAGAUAGGGGACAGUAGUUAUACUGGUGCUGGGAUGUAAGAGGUGUAGCUGUACUUCAUCUGGGAGAUAGGGGGCAGUAGUUAUACUGGUGCUGGGAUGUAAGAGGUGUAACUGUACUUCAUCUGGGAGAUAGGGGGCAGUAGUUGUACUGGUGCUGGGAUGUAAGAGGUGUAGCUGUACUUCAUCUGGGAGAUAGGGGGCAGUAGUUGUACUGGUACUGGGGUGUAAGAGAUGUAGCUGUACUUCAUCUGGGAGAUAGGGGGCAGUAGUUGUACUGGUGCUGGGAUCUAAGAGGUGUAGCUGUAUUUUAUUUGGGAGAUAGGUGGCAGUAGUUGUACUGGUGCUGGGAUGUAAGAGGUGUAGCUGUACUUCAUCUGGGAGAUAGGGGGCAGUAGUUGUACUGGUGCUGGGAUGUAAGAGGUAUAGCUGUACUUCAUCUGGUAGAUAGGGGGCAGUAGUUGCACUAGUGCUGGGAUGUAAGAGGUGUAACUGUACUUCAUCUGGGAGAUAGGGAGCAGUAGUUAUUCUGGUGCUGGGAUGUAAGAGGUGUAGUUGUACUUCAUCUGGGAGAUAGGGAGCAGUAGUUAUACUGGUGCUGGGAUGUAAGAGGUGUAGUUGUACUUCCUUCAUCUGGAGAUAGGGGGCAGUAGUGGCACUGGUGCUGGGAUGUAAGAGGUGUAGCUGUACUUCAUCUGGAGAUAGGGGGCAGUAGUUAUUCUGGUGCUGGGAUGUAGGAGGUGUAGCUGUACUUCAUCUGGGAGAUAGGGGGCAGUAGUGGCACUGGUGCUGGGAUGUAAGAGGUGUAACUGUACGUCAUCUGGGAGAUAGGGAGCAGUAGUGGCACUGGUGCUGGGAUGUAAGAGGUGUAGCUGUACUUCAUCUGGGAGAUAGGGGGCAGUAGUGGCACUGGUGCUGGGAUGUAAGAGGUGUAGCUAUACUUCAUCUGGGAGAUAGGGGGCAGUAGUGGCACUGGUGCUAGGAUGUAAGAGGUGUAGCUAUACUUCAUCUGGAGAUAGGGGGCAGUAGUUGUACUGGUGCUGGGAUGUAAGAGGUGUAGCUGUACUUCAUCUGGGAGAUAGGGGGCAGUAGUUGUACUGGUCCUGGGAUGUAAGAGGUGUAGUUGUACUUCAUCUGGAGAUAGGGGGCAGUAGUGUCACUGGUGCUGGGAUGUAAGAGGUGUAAAUGUACUUCAUCUGGGAGAUAGGGGGCAGUAGUUGUACUGGUGCUGGGAUGUAAGAGGUGUAGCUGUAUUUCAUCUGGGAGAUAGGGGGCAGUAGUUGCACUGGUGCUGGGAUGUAAGAGGUUUAGCUGUACUUCAUCUGGGAGAUAGGGGGCAGUAGUUGUACUGGUGCUGGGAUGUAAGAGGUGUAGCUGUACUUCAUCUGGGAGAUAGGGGGUAGUAGUUGCACUGGUGCUGAGAUGUAAGAGGUCUAGCUGUACUUCUUUUGGGAGAUAGGGGGCAGUAGUUGCACUGGUGCUGGGAUGUAAGAGGUGUAACUGUACUUCAUCUGGGAGAUAGGGGGCAGUAGUUGUACUGGUGCUGGGAUGUAAGAGGUGUAGCUGUACUUCAUCUGGGAGAUAGGGGGCAGUAGUUGUACUGGUGCUGGGAUGUAAGAGGUGUAGCUGUACUUCAUCUGGGAGAUAGGGGGCAGUAGUUGUACUGGUGCUGGGAUGUAAGAGGUGUAGCUGUACUUCAUCUGGGAGAUAGGGGGCAGUAGUUGUACUGGUGCUGGGAUGUAAGAGGUGUAGCUGUACUUCAUCUGGGAGAUGGGGGCAGUAGUUGUACUGGUGCUGGGAUGUAAGAGGUAUAGCUGUACUUCAUCUGGGAGAUGGGGGCAGUAAUGUCACUGGUGCUGGGAUGUAAGAGGUGUAGCUGUACUUCAUCUGGGAGAUAGGGGGCAGUAGUUGUACUGGUGCUUGGAUGUAAGAGGUGUAGCUGUACUUCAUCUGGGAGAUAGGGGGCAGCAGUUGUACUGGUGCUGGGAUGUAAGAGGUGUAGCUGUACUUCAUCUGGGAGAUAGGGGGCAGUAGUUGUAUUGGUGCUGGGAUGUAAGAGGUGUAGCUGUACUUCAUCUGGGAGAUAGGGGGCAGUAGUUGUACUGGUGCUGGGAUGUAAGAGGUAUAGCUGUACUUCAUCUAGGAGAUAGGGGCAGUAGUGUCACUGGUGCUGGGCUGUAAGAGGUAUAGCUGUACUUCAUCUGGGAGAUAGGGGGCAGUAGUGUCACUGGUGCUGGGAUGUAAGAGGUGUAGCUGUACUUCAUCUGGGAGAUAGGGGGCAGUAGUGGCACUAGUGCUUGGAUGUAAGAGGUGUAGCUGUACUUCAUCUGGGAGAUAGGGGGCAGUAGUGGCACUGAUGCUGGGGUGUAAGAGGUGUAGCUGUACUUCAUAUUGGAGAUAGGGGACAGUAGUGGCACUGGUGCUGGGAUGUAAGAGGUGUAGCUGUACUUCAUCUGGGAGAUAGGGGGCAGUAGUGGCACUGAUGCUGGGAUGUAAGAGGUGUAACUGUACUUCAUCUGGGAGAUAGGGGGCAGUAGUUGUACUGGUGCUGGGAUGUAAGAGGUGUAGCUGUACUUCAUCUGGGAGAUGGGGGCAGUAGUUAUACUGGUGUUGGGAUGUAAGAGGUGUAACUGUACUUCAUCUGGGAGAUAGGGGGCAGUAGUUGUACUGGUGCUGGGAUGUAAGAGGUGUAGCUGUACUUCAUCUUGGAGAUAGGGGACAAUAGUGGCACUGGUGCUGGGAUGUAAGAGGUGUAGCUGUACUUCAUCUGGGAGAUAGGGGGCAGUAGUUAUACUGGUGCUGGGAUGUAAGCGAUGUAGCUGUACUUCAUUUGGGAGAUAGGGGGCAGUAGUUGUACUGGUGCUGGGACGUAAGAGGCGUAGCCUUACUUCAUCUGGGAGAUAGGGGGCAGUAGUUGUAAUGGUGCUGGGAUGUAAGAGGUGUAGCUGUACUUCAUCUGGGAGAUAGGGGGCAGUAGUUGUAAUGGUGCUGGGAUGUAAGAGGUGUAGCUGUACUUCAUCUGGGAGAUAGGGGCAGUAGUUAUACUGGUGCUGUUAUGUAAGAGGUGUAGCUGUACUUCAUCUAGAAGAUAGGGGGCAGUAGUUGUACUGAUGCUGGGAUGUAAGAGGUGUAGCUGUACUUCAUCUGGGAGAUAGGGGGCAGUAGUUGUACUGGUGCUGGGAUGUAAGAGGUGUAGCUGUACUUCAUCUGGAAGAUAGGGGGCAGUAGUUGUACUGAUGCUGGGAUGUAAGCGGUGUAACUACUUCAUCUGGGAGAUAAGGGGCAGUAGUUGUACUGGUGCUGGGAUGUGAGCGGUGUAGCUGUACUUCAUCUGGGAGAUAGGGGGCAGUAGUUGUACUGGUGCUGGGAUGUAAGAGGUGUAGCUGUACUUCAUCUGGGAGAUAGGGGACAGUAGUUAUACUGGUGCUGGGAUGUAAGAGGUGUAGCUGUACUUCAUCUGGGAGAUAGGGGGCAGUAGUUAUACUGGUGCUGGGAUGUAAGAGGUGUAUCUGUACUUCAUCUGGGAGAUAGGGGGCAGUAGUUGUACUGGUGCUGGGAUGUAAGAGGUGUAGCUGUACUUCAUCUGGGAGAUAGGGGGCAGUAGUUGUACUGGUACUGGGGUGCAAGAGAUGUAGCUGUACUUCAUCUGGGAGAUAGGGGGCAGUAGUUGUACUGGUGCUGGGAUCUAAGAGGUGUAGCUGUAUUUUAUUUGGGAGAUAGGUGGCAGUAGUUGUACUGGUGCUGGGAUGUAAGAAGUGUAGCUGUACUUCAUCUGGGAGAUAGGGGCAGUAGUUAUACUGGUGCUGGGAUGUAAGAGGUGUAGCUGUACUUCAUCUAGAAGAUAGGGGGCAGUAGUUGUACUGAUGCUGGGAUGUAAGAGGUGUAUCUGUACUUCAUCUGGGAGAUAGGGGGCAGUAGUUGUACUGGUGCUGGGAUGUAAGAGGUGUAGCUGUACUUCAUCUGGGAGAUAGGGGGCAGUAGUUGUACUGAUGCUGGGAUGUAAGCGGUGUAACUACUUCAUCUGGGAGAUAGGGGGCAGUAGUUAUACUGGUGCUGGGAUGUGAGCGGUGUAGCUGUACUUCAUCUGGGAGAUAGGGGGCAGUAGUUGUACUGGUGCUGGGAUGUAAGAGGUGUAGCUGUACUUCAUCUGGGAGAUAGGGGACAGUAGUUAUACUGGUGCUGGGAUGUAGGAGGUGUAGCUGUACUUCAUCUGGGAGAUAGGGGGCAGUAGUUAUACUGGUGCUGGGAUGUAAGAGGUGUAACUGUACUUCAUCUUGGAGAUAGGGGGCAGUAGUUGUACUGGUGCUGGGAUGUAAGAGGUGUAGCUGUACUUCAUCUGGGAGAUAGGGGGCAGUAGUUGUACUGGUACUGGGGUGUAAGAGAUGUAGCUGUACUUCAUCUGGGAGAUAGGGGGCAGUAGUUGUACUGGUGCUGGGAUGUAAGAGGUGUAGUUGUACUUCCUUCAUCUGGAGAUUGGGGGCAGUAGUGGCACUGGUGCUGGGAUGUAAGAGGUGUAGCUGUACUUCAUCUGGAGAUAGGGGGCAGUAGUUGUAAUGGUGCUGGGAUGUAAGAGGUGUAGCUGUACUUCAUCUGGGAGAUAGGAGCAGUAGUUAUACUGGUGCUGUUAUGUAAGAGGUGUAGCUGUACUUCAUCUAGAAGAUAGGGGGCAGUAGUUGUACUGAUGCUGGGAUGUAAGAGGUGUAGCUGUACUUCAUCUGGGAGAUAGGGGGCAGUAGUUGUACUGGUGCUGGGAUAUAAGAGGUGUAGCUGUACUUCAUCUGGGAGAUAGGGGGCAGUAGUUGUACUGAUGCUGGGAUGUAAGUGGUGUAACUACUUCAUCUGGGAGAUAGGGGGCAGUAGUUGUACUGGUGCUGGGAUGUGAGCGGUAUAGCUGUACUUCAUCUGGGAGAUAGGGGGCAGUAUUUGUACUGGUGCUGGGAUGUAAGAGGUGUAGCUGUACUUCAUCUGGGAGAUAGGGGACAGUAGUUAUACUGGUGCUGGGAUGUAAGAGUUGUAGCUGUACUUCAUCUGGGAGAUAGGGGGCAGUAGUUAUACUGGUGCUGGGAUGUAAGAGGUGUAACUGUACUUCAUCUGGGAGAUAGGGGGCAGUAGUUAUACUGGUGCUGGGAUGUAAGAGGUGUAACUGUACUUCAUCUGGGAGAUAGGGGGCAGUAGUUGUACUGGUGCUGGGAUGUAAGAGGUGUAGCUGUACUUCAUCUGGGAGAUAGGGGGCAGUAGUUGUACUGGUGCUGGGACGUAAGAGGCGUAGCCUUACUUCAUCUGGGAGAUAGGGGGCAGUAGUUGUAAUGGUGCUGGGAUGUAAGAGGUGUAGCUGUACUUCAUCUGGGAGAUAGGGGCAGUAGUUAUACUGGUGCUGUUAUGUAAGAGGUGUAGCUGUACUUCAUCUAGAAGAUAGGGGGCAGUAGUUGUACUGAUGCUGGGAUGUAAGAGGUGUAGCUGUACUUCAUCUGGGAGAUAGGGGGCAGUAGUUGUACUGGUGCUGGGAUGUAAGAGGUGUAGCUGUACUUCAUCUGGAAGAUAGGUGGCAGUAGUUGUACUGAUGCUGGGAUGUAAGCGGUGUAACUACUUCAUCUGGGAGAUAAGGGGCAGUAGUUGUACUGGUGCUGGGAUGUGAGCGGUGUAGCUGUACUUCAUCUGGGAGAUAGGGGGCAGUAGUUGUACUGGUGCUGGGAUGUAAGAGGUGUAGCUGUACUUCAUCUGGGAGAUAGGGGACAGUAGUUAUACUGGUGCUGGGAUGUAAGAGGUGUAGCUGUACUUCAUCUGGGAGAUAGGGGGCAGUAGUUAUACUGGUGCUGGGAUGUAAGAGGUGUAACUGUACUUCAUCUGGGAGAUAGGGGGCAGUAGUUGUACUGGUGCUGGGAUGUAAGAGGUGUAGCUGUACUUCAUCUGGGAGAUAGGGGGCAGUAGUUGUACUGGUACUGGGGUGUAAGAGAUGUAGCUGUACUUCAUCUGGGAGAUAGGGGGCAGUAGUUGUACUGGUGCUGGGAUCUAAGAGGUGUAGCUGUAUUUUAUUUGGGAGAUAGGUGGCAGUAGUUGUACUGGUGCUGGGAUGUAAGAAGUGUAGCUGUACUUCAUCUGGGAGAUAGGGGCAGUAGUUAUACUGGUGCUGGGAUGUAAGAGGUGUAGCUGUACUUCAUCUAGAAGAUAGGGGGCAGUAGUUGUACUGAUGCUGGGAUGUAAGAGGUGUAUCUGUACUUCAUCUGGGAGAUAGGGGGCAGUAGUUGUACUGGUGCUGGGAUGUAAGAGGUGUAGCUGUACUUCAUCUGGGAGAUAGGGGGCAGUAGUUGUACUGAUGCUGGGAUGUAAGCGGUGUAACUACUUCAUCUGGGAGAUAGGGGGCAGUAGUUAUACUGGUGCUGGGAUGUGAGCGGUGUAGCUGUACUUCAUCUGGGAGAUAGGGGGCAGUAGUUGUACUGGUGCUGGGAUGUAAGAGGUGUAGCUGUACUUCAUCUGGGAGAUAGGGGACAGUAGUUAUACUGGUGCUGGGAUGUAAGAGGUGUAGCUGUACUUCAUCUGGGAGAUAGGGGGCAGUAGUUAUACUGGUGCUGGGAUGUAAGAGGUGUAACUGUACUUCAUCUUGGAGAUAGGGGGCAGUAGUUGUACUGGUGCUGGGAUGUAAGAGGUGUAGCUGUACUUCAUCUGGGAGAUAGGGGGCAGUAGUUGUACUGGUACUGGGGUGUAAGAGAUGUAGCUGUACUUCAUCUGGGAGAUAGGGGGCAGUAGUUGUACUGGUGCUGGGAUGUAAGAGGUGUAGUUGUACUUCCUUCAUCUGGAGAUUGGGGGCAGUAGUGGCACUGGUGCUGGGAUGUAAGAGGUGUAGCUGUACUUCAUCUGGAGAUAGGGGGCAGUAGUUGUAAUGGUGCUGGGAUGUAAGAGGUGUAGCUGUACUUCAUCUGGGAGAUAGGAGCAGUAGUUAUACUGGUGCUGUUAUGUAAGAGGUGUAGCUGUACUUCAUCUAGAAGAUAGGGGGCAGUAGUUGUACUGAUGCUGGGAUGUAAGAGGUGUAGCUGUACUUCAUCUGGGAGAUAGGGGGCAGUAGUUGUACUGGUGCUGGGAUAUAAGAGGUGUAGCUGUACUUCAUCUGGGAGAUAGGGGGCAGUAGUUGUACUGAUGCUGGGAUGUAAGUGGUGUAACUACUUCAUCUGGGAGAUAGGGGGCAGUAGUUGUACUGGUGCUGGGAUGUGAGCGGUAUAGCUGUACUUCAUCUGGGAGAUAGGGGGCAGUAUUUGUACUGGUGCUGGGAUGUAAGAGGUGUAGCUGUACUUCAUCUGGGAGAUAGGGGACAGUAGUUAUACUGGUGCUGGGAUGUAAGAGUUGUAGCUGUACUUCAUCUGGGAGAUAGGGGGCAGUAGUUAUACUGGUGCUGGGAUGUAAGAGGUGUAACUGUACUUCAUCUGGGAGAUAGGGGGCAGUAGUUGUACUGGUGCUGGGAUGUAAGAGGUGUAGCUGUACUUCAUCUGGGAGAUAGGGGGCAGUAGUUGUACUGGUACUGGGGUGUAAGAGAUGUAGCUGUACUUCAUCUGGGAGAUAGGGGGCAGUAGUUGUACUGGUGCUGGGAUCUAAGAGGUGUAGCUGUAUUUUAUUUGGGAGAUAGGUGGCAGUAGUUGUACUGGUGCUGGGAUGUAAGAGGUGUAGCUGUACUUCAUCUGGGAGAUAGGGGGCAGUAGUUGUACUGGUGCUGGGAUGUAAGAGGUGUAGCUGUACUUCAUCUGGUAGAUAGGGGGCAGUAGUUGCACUAGUGCUGGGAUGUAAGAGGUGUAACUGUACUUCAUCUGGGAGAUAGGGAGCAGUAGUUAUUCUGGUGCUGGGAUGUAAGAGGUGUAGUUGUACUUCAUCUGGGAGAUAGGGAGCAGUAGUUAUACUGGUGCUGGGAUGUAAGAGGUGUAGUUGUACUUCCUUCAUCUGGAGAUAGGGGGCAGUAGUGGCACUGGUGCUGGGAUGUAAGAGGUGUAGCUGUACUUCAUCUGGAGAUAGGGGGCAGUAGUUAUUCUGGUGCUGGGAUGUAGGAGGUGUAGCUGUACUUCAUCUGGGAGAUAGGGGGCAGUAGUGGCACUGGUGUUGGGAUGUAAGAGGUGUAACUGUACGUCAUCUGGGAGAUAGGGAGCAGUAGUGGCACUGGUGCUGGGAUGUAAGAGGUGUAGCUGUACUUCAUCUGGGAGAUAGGGGGCAGUAGUGGCACUGGUGCUGGGAUGUAAGAGGUGUAGCUAUACUUCAUCUGGGAGAUAGGGGGCAGUAGUGGCACUGGUGCUAGGAUGUAAGAGGUGUAGCUAUACUUCAUCUGGAGAUAGGGGGCAGUAGUUGUACUGGUGCUGGGAUGUAAGAGGUGUAGCUGUACUUCAUCUGGGAGAUAGGGGGCAGUAGUUGUACUGGUCCUGGGAUGUAAGAGGUGUAGUUGUACUUCAUCUGGAGAUAGGGGGCAGUAGUGUCACUGGUGCUGGGAUGUAAGAGGUGUAAAUGUACUUCAUCUGGGAGAUAGGGGGCAGUAGUUGUACUGGUGCUGGGAUGUAAGAGGUGUAGCUGUAUUUCAUCUGGGAGAUAGGGGGCAGUAGUUGCACUGGUGCUGGGAUGUAAGAGGUUUAGCUGUACUUCAUCUGGGAGAUAGGGGGCAGUAGUUGUACUGGUGCUGGGAUGUAAGAGGUGUAGCUGUACUUCAUCUGGGAGAUAGGGGGUAGUAGUUGCACUGGUGCUGAGAUGUAAGAGGUCUAGCUGUACUUCUUUUGGGAGAUAGGGGGCAGUAGUUGCACUGGUGCUGGGAUGUAAGAGGUGUAACUGUACUUCAUCUGGGAGAUAGGGGGCAGUAGUUGUACUGGUGCUGGGAUGUAAGAGGUGUAGCUGUACUUCAUCUGGGAGAUAGGGGGCAGUAGUUGUACUGGUGCUGGGAUGUAAGAGGUGUAGCUGUACUUCAUCUGGGAGAUAGGGGGCAGUAGUUGUACUGGUGCUGGGAUGUAAGAGGUGUAGCUGUACUUCAUCUGGGAGAUAGGGGGCAGUAGUUGUACUGGUGCUGGGAUGUAAGAGGUGUAGCUGUACUUCAUCUGGGAGAUGGGGGCAGUAGUUGUACUGGUGCUGGGAUGUAAGAGGUAUAGCUGUACUUCAUCUGGGAGAUGGGGGCAGUAAUGUCACUGGUGCUGGGAUGUAAGAGGUGUAGCUGUACUUCAUCUGGGAGAUAGGGGGCAGUAGUUGUACUGGUGCUUGGAUGUAAGAGGUGUAGCUGUACUUCAUCUGGGAGAUAGGGGGCAGCAGUUGUACUGGUGCUGGGAUGUAAGAGGUGUAGCUGUACUUCAUCUGGGAGAUAGGGGGCAGUAGUUGUAUUGGUGCUGGGAUGUAAGAGGUGUAGCUGUACUUCAUCUGGGAGAUAGGGGGCAGUAGUUGUACUGGUGCUGGGAUGUAAGAGGUAUAGCUGUACUUCAUCUAGGAGAUAGGGGCAGUAGUGUCACUGGUGCUGGGCUGUAAGAGGUAUAGCUGUACUUCAUCUGGGAGAUAGGGGGCAGUAGUGUCACUGGUGCUGGGAUGUAAGAGGUGUAGCUGUACUUCAUCUGGGAGAUAGGGGGCAGUAGUUGUACUGGUGCUGGGAUGUAAGAGGUGUAGUUGUACUUCAUCUGGGAGAUAGGGGGCAGUAGUUGUACUGGUGCUGGGAUGUAAGAGGUGUAGCUGUACUUCAUCUGGGAGAUAGGGGGCAGUAGUUGUACUGGUGCUGGGAUUUAAGAGGUGUAGCUGUACUUCAUCUGGAGAUAGCGGGCAGUAGUUGUACUGGUGCUGGGAUGUAAGAGGUGUAGCUGUACAUCAUCUGGAGAUAGGGGGAAGUAGUGGUACUGGUGCUGGGAUGUAAGAGGUGUAGUUGUACUUCCUUCAUCUGGAGAUAGGGGGCAGUAGUUGUACUGGUGCUGGGAUGUAAGAGCUGUAGCUGUACUUCAUCUGGGAGAUAGGGGGCAGUAGUGUCACUGGUGCUGGGAUGUAAGAGGUGUAGCUGUACUUUAUCUGGGAGAUAGGGGGCAGUAGUUGCACUGGUGCUGGGAUGUAAGAGGUGUAGCUGUACUUCAUCUGGGAGAUAGGGGGCAGUAGUUAUUCUGGUGCUGGGAUAUAAGAGGUGUAGCUGUACUUCAUCUGGGAGAUAGGGGGCAGUAGUUGUACUGGUGCUGGGAUGUAAGAGGUGUAGCUGUACUUCAUCUGGGAGAUAGGGGGCAGUAGUUCUACAAUUAUUGGAUGUAAGAGGUUUAGCUGUAUUUCAUCUGGAUACAAACAGUCCUCAGAACCAUAUAUAUUCUUCUGUUUUAAUAAAUCAUCACACAAGGGUAGAGCAACAAAAAAACAAGCAACAUUUCGGGAUAUUAUCACUUAAUCAUGCUCAAAAAUGUUACUGCAAAUAUACAAGUAAGGAAACAGCACACCUUUAGUUGAGCAGUCCUCGGAGUGAGCUUACCAUGCCCACAGCAUUCAAAACAACAAGAAAUCCUCCAGCUGCUGUAUUAAAAAAGACUUUUAUUUUUCACAAUGCAGGGUCCAAUAAAGCAAAGCGACGUUUCAGGCUAAUACUCAGCACUUGCUCAUGCUAAGCAUGAGUAAGGGGCUGAGUAUUAGCCCGUAACAUCAGUUUUAUUGGACCCUGCAUUGUGAAAACUAAAAGUCUUUUUUAAUACAGCAGCUUUAGGAUUUCUUGUUCUUUUAAAAAAUGGUACUGCCAAGGGGUGGCAGAAUGAUUUAACUGCCCUUUAGCUACAAUACAGAGGGUAAUAAUUACAGCGCUGAGUUUAUGUGGGGAGAGGGAGGCACUGGGCAAUAGUUGCAUUACUCAUGGGGUGUACAAUAGGUAGUGGUGCCUUAUUUGGUGUUUAGGGGAUAGUAGUUGCUGUACUGUACCUGGGUAGCAGGGUAGCCAUAUUGUAGUUGAGCAGAAAGGCCAGUAACUGUACUGUGGCUGGGAAACAGGGGUACAAUAAUGCUGAGUAACAGGACGUAGUCGUACUGCAGGUGGGCAGAAGGGGCAAUAGCUGUACUCUAAAUUACAGUUGAGCCAACUUUUAUGACAAAAACAGAGGGGGUUAUACAGUGUCUAGUAAAUCUGUGGCAAAAGCUUAUUGUUACUUGGAACCUGGGGGUAGUAAGUAGCUUUACUUUAGUUUGGACAGUUGGAUAGUAUUAUAUAGGUAGAUAGUUAGAAAUAUAUAUAUAUAUAUUCACUGUAUAUACUGUAUGUAGUUAUAUGUGUGUAUAUAUAUAUAUAUAUAUAUAUAUAAAUAUAUAUAUAUAUACUGAAUGUAGAUAAAUGUAUGUAUAUGUGUGUAUAUAUAUAUUUAUAUAUAUAUAUAUAUAUAUAUAUAUACUGUAUAAAGGGGAAUUGCUGUAGUUGAACACAGUACUGGAAGCAAAAAGCAUGAGACAUUGUAUAUCUAAUUUGCACUUCUGGGGGAAAGCAAGCGGGGAUACUUUCCUAGAUUUACUAAUUUUCUAUACAAUCAUUCUAUAUAUAUAUUCUAACUACACUUUUUGCAGCACAUGGAAUGUGCCUUCCUUGCUAUUUUGUUCACUUUAGGCUUUUGAACAAGAGUGGUCCAUUUCCUGUGCUAAGAAACAAUGACUGUAGUUGGGCAGCAUAUGAUUUUGAAAGCUUCCAUAAAAAAUACAUUCUUUAGAGAGUCAAUGAGCCUAUGAUGGAACAAACAGUAAACAAAAUCCAGCAAGCUCAAUCAUAGAUAAAAUGCCCUGUUCUACUUAUGAAUUCUAAUUGGCUAGCUUGCACUAUAAUUCUACAUGCAUGAAAAUGAAACAUAAAAACUG
This is a long non-coding RNA of Bombina bombina (fire-bellied toad), 20800 nucleotides long. RefSeq lists it as uncharacterized. The record is from RefSeq and is a predicted model, not a curated record. The transcript is spliced from 2 exons. Lineage: Eukaryota; Metazoa; Chordata; Amphibia; Anura; Bombinatoridae.